Molecule: long non-coding RNA, 765 nt
Filed under: Mytilus galloprovincialis (Mediterranean mussel)
Lineage: Eukaryota; Metazoa; Mollusca; Bivalvia; Mytilida; Mytilidae
Source: RNAcentral
UGAACAUAGAAAAUGAUAGUGCGAGUGGGGCAUUCGUGUACUAUGGACACAUUCUUGUUUCUCUAUAAAAUUGGGUUCGAAUUUCAAAGAAUUUAAAAAAAAAUAUUUUUUUGACCCUGAGCAUCAUCGAUCACUCAAGAGACAUUAAUUGUUGAAAUGUGUCACUGCUGUAGUAAAAUUGAUACCUUUACUGUUAUUAGAAAUGUAAAAUUUAAUGUUGAACCAAAGGAUAAAAAGUCACAAAGAGAGGCCUAGCCAGAAAGAGAAUCUAAAAAUUAAUUUAAUGUGGCUAAUAAGAUGUUUUAUAUGUAUAUAUAUUUAUAAUGGUGCUAUCUGUUUUUUUUUGUUUCAUGUUAGUUUUAGAUAUUCUAAGAAUUUACAUGCAAAUCAGUUUUAAUAAAUUCACUUGCCAAGCUAAACAACAAACUUUUUAAAUUGUUGUCCUUUAAAGGCAAGAAUCAUUUUAUGUUGAUCAUUAUUGAUGAUUAACGGUUGCAUCGUUCAUUGUUUUUGAAUAUACAUUUUUGUAUAUAGAUACUUUUUGCUUGCUGGGUAUCUACAUUUUGGGUUUACACAAUGACAGAUUUCCCCAGUAAAUGAUAGAUAUUAUUUAUCCUUGAUUCUGGUGAUUGUACUUUUUUUGUAACCUGUAAUGAAUUUCACAGAAUGUUCAAUAAAAAAUCCUAAUUCAUGGUUUGAUGACGGCAUAAAAAUCUGUAAAAUAUUUGUCAUUAGAUUUUUUUUUUUCAUUUUAUUGAGUCAGAC